Molecule: transfer RNA, 69 nt
Filed under: Marmota marmota marmota (Alpine marmot)
Lineage: Eukaryota; Metazoa; Chordata; Mammalia; Rodentia; Sciuridae
Also listed under: 2 other names
Rfam family: tRNA
About the family: Transfer RNA (tRNA) molecules are approximately 80 nucleotides in length. Their secondary structure includes four short double-helical elements and three loops (D, anti-codon, and T loops). Further hydrogen bonds mediate the characteristic L-shaped molecular structure. tRNAs have two regions of fundamental functional importance: the anti-codon, which is responsible for specific mRNA codon recognition, and the 3' end, to which the tRNAs corresponding amino acid is attached (by aminoacyl-tRNA synthetases). tRNAs cope with the degeneracy of the genetic code in two manners: having more than one tRNA (with a specific anti-codon) for a particular amino acid; and 'wobble' base-pairing, i.e. permitting non-standard base-pairing at the 3rd anti-codon position.
Source: Rfam by way of RNAcentral
GGGGCUAUAGCUCAGUGGCAGAGCGCUUGCCUAGCAUGUAUGAGGCACUGGGUUCAAUCCUUAGCACCA